Molecule: ribosomal RNA, 409 nt
Filed under: bacterium
Lineage: Bacteria
Description: partial 16S ribosomal RNA
Rfam family: Bacterial small subunit ribosomal RNA
Source: RNAcentral
UGGGGAAUAUUGCACAAUGGGCGAAAGCCUGAUGCAGCGACGCCGCCUGAGGGAUGACGGCCUUCGGGUUGUAAACCUCUUUCAGUAGGGACGAAGCGCAAGUGACGGUACCUGCAGAAGAAGCACCGGCUAACUACGUGCCAGCAGCCGCGGUAAUACGUAGGGUGCGAGCGUUGUCCGGAAUUACUGGGCGUAAAGAGCUCGUAGGCGGUUUGUCACGUCGUCUGUGAAAUCCUAGGGCUUAACCCUGGACGUGCAGGCGAUACGGGCUGACUUGAGUACUACAGGGGAGACUGGAAUUUCUGGUGUAGCGGUGGAAUGCACAGAUAUCAGGAAGAACACCGAUGGCGAAGGCAGGUCUCUGGGUAGUAACUGACGCUGAGGAGCGAAAGCAUGGGUAGCGAACAGG